AUGAACGUCUGGCAGAGCAAAGCUGAUGACUACUCGAUAGUUCAGUGUGCCAUGCUUUACGGCUUAGGAUCGGGACUUCAACGACGUUUUGAACGUCAUGGAGCAUAUGAGAUGUUCCAGGAGUUGAAGUUAAUAUUUCAAGCAAAUGCCCAGAUUGAGAGAUAUGAAGUCUCCAAUAAGUUCUAUAGCUGCAAGAUGGAGGAGAACAGUUCUGUCAGUAAGCAUAUACUCAAAAUGUCUGGGUAUAAUAAUCACUCCAUUCAAUUGGGAGUUAAUCUUUUAGAUGAUUGCGUCAUUGACAGAAUUGUCCAAUCACUGCCACCUAGCUACAAGAGCUUCGUGAUGAACUAUAAUAUGCAAGGGAUGAAUAAGACUAUUCCCGAGCUCUUUGCAAUGCUCAAAGCUGCGGAGGUAGAAAUCAAGAAGGAGCAUCAAGUGUUGAUGGUCAACAAGACCACUAGUUUCAAGAAAAAGGGCAAAGGGAAGAAGAAGGGGAACUUCAAGAAGAACAACAAGCAAGUUGCUGCUCAAGAGAAGAAACCCAAAUCUGGACCUAAGCCUGAAACUGAGUGCUUCUACUGCAAGCAGACUAGUCACUGGAAGCAGAACUGCCCGAAGUAUUUGGCGGAUAAGAAGAAUGGCAAGGUGAACAAAGGGACUACGGAUUAA
This 669-nucleotide ribosomal RNA is filed under the name Triticum aestivum (bread wheat). RNAcentral's name for it is "partial small subunit ribosomal RNA". Lineage: Eukaryota; Viridiplantae; Streptophyta; Magnoliopsida; Poales; Poaceae. The record is from RNAcentral.